RNAcentral lists this ribosomal RNA (788 nucleotides) under Escherichia coli. Its description in RNAcentral is "partial 23S ribosomal RNA". It matches the Rfam family "Bacterial large subunit ribosomal RNA", at positions 2143 to 2925 of the family's 2925-position model. Lineage: Bacteria; Pseudomonadati; Pseudomonadota; Gammaproteobacteria; Enterobacterales; Enterobacteriaceae. The record is from RNAcentral.
AUAGGUGGGAGGCUUUGAAGUGUGGACGCCAGUCUGCAUGGAGCCGACCUUGAAAUACCACCCUUUAAUGUUUGAUGUUCUAACGUGGACCCGUGAUCCGGGUUGCGGACAGUGUCUGGUGGGUAGUUUGACUGGGGCGGUCUCCUCCUAAAGAGUAACGGAGGAGCACGAAGGUUGGCUAAUCCUGGUCGGACAUCAGGAGGUUAGUGCAAUGGCAUAAGCCAGCUUGACUGCGAGCGUGACGGCGCGAGCAGGUGCGAAAGCAGGUCAUAGUGAUCCGGUGGUUCUGAAUGGAAGGGCCAUCGCUCAACGGAUAAAAGGUACUCCGGGGAUAACAGGCUGAUACCGCCCAAGAGUUCAUAUCGACGGCGGUGUUUGGCACCUCGAUGUCGGCUCAUCACAUCCUGGGGCUGAAGUAGGUCCCAAGGGUAUGGCUGUUCGCCAUUUAAAGUGGUACGCGAGCUGGGUUUAGAACGUCGUGAGACAGUUCGGUCCCUAUCUGCCGUGGGCGCUGGAGAACUGAGGGGGGCUGCUCCUAGUACGAGAGGACCGGAGUGGACGCAUCACUGGUGUUCGGGUUGUCAUGCCAAUGGCACUGCCCGGUAGCUAAAUGCGGAAGAGAUAAGUGCUGAAAGCAUCUAAGCACGAAACUUGCCCCGAGAUGAGUUCUCCCUGACCCUUUAAGGGUCCUGAAGGAACGUUGAAGACGACGACGUUGAUAGGCCGGGUGUGUAAGCGCAGCGAUGCGUUGAGCUAACCGGUACUAAUGAACCGUGAGGCUUAACCUU